RNAcentral lists this transfer RNA (75 nucleotides) under Chloroflexota bacterium. Its description in RNAcentral is "Chloroflexi bacterium tRNA-Lys". It matches the Rfam family "tRNA". From Rfam's summary of the family: Transfer RNA (tRNA) molecules are approximately 80 nucleotides in length. Their secondary structure includes four short double-helical elements and three loops (D, anti-codon, and T loops). Further hydrogen bonds mediate the characteristic L-shaped molecular structure. tRNAs have two regions of fundamental functional importance: the anti-codon, which is responsible for specific mRNA codon recognition, and the 3' end, to which the tRNAs corresponding amino acid is attached (by aminoacyl-tRNA synthetases). tRNAs cope with the degeneracy of the genetic code in two manners: having more than one tRNA (with a specific anti-codon) for a particular amino acid; and 'wobble' base-pairing, i.e. permitting non-standard base-pairing at the 3rd anti-codon position. Lineage: Bacteria; Bacillati; Chloroflexota. RNAcentral also lists the same sequence under 1 other name. The record is from RNAcentral.
GGGCCCGUAGCUCAGCGGUAGAGCAGUGGACUUUUAAUCCAUCGGUCCUCGGUUCGAAUCCGAGCGGGCUCACCA